AGUUGUAAUGGUAGUUGUAUAAUUCUGGAUAUUAACAAAAUUGAUGAAAUUAUAUACUCAAACUAGGUGAAUUUUAAAGUAUAUUAAAAGUGAGUAUUAUUAGCGGAAUGGUACAUCAGAGACUUUGGGGAAUGUCUCUUUCGUUUGUAAGGAAGUUUUGGAUUCCUUAUUUCACAUUGCUAAUAAAGUGGGUUGUCAGAUUUGAGUGGGGCUUUGUUGCCAUUAUAAAGGAAACAUUUGUCAUUUCUAUUUUAUCUCCUUCAGUAACUCUGAGCCUUCACACCAUAAUAGUGAGGGAGCAGAUAACUCCAGGGAUGACUCAAGCAGCCACAGUGGGUCUGAAAGCAGCUCUGGGUCCGACUCCGAGAGUGAAAGCAGCUCCAGUGACAGUGAGGCAAAUGAGCCAUCCCAGAGCGCAUCCCCUGAGGUGAGAGGGAGGAGCUGCUUCCAUACACAAGCUCUCGUGAUGGCCACUCCAGCAUCACCAUGCAUGUGAUCAAAGGCACACUGUGUAUGAUGUCAAAGACCACAAAACAUGGGUCUUAUAGAAAACCUAAGCUUUUUGCUCUCCUUAUUAUUUUAAAAACUUAUUUUGGGGGUUGGGAAUUUAGCUCAGUGAUAGAGUGCUUGCCUAGCAAGCACAAGGCCCUGGCUUUGGUCCUCAGCUCCGGG
Molecule: long non-coding RNA, 672 nt
Filed under: Rattus norvegicus (Norway rat)
Lineage: Eukaryota; Metazoa; Chordata; Mammalia; Rodentia; Muridae
Description: long non-coding RNA NONRATT004256
Source: RNAcentral